This 451-nucleotide ribosomal RNA is filed under the name uncultured bacterium. Its description in RNAcentral is "bacterial SSU rRNA". It matches the Rfam family "Bacterial small subunit ribosomal RNA", at positions 70 to 526 of the family's 1533-position model. The record is from RNAcentral.
UAAGGCCCUUCGGGGUACACGAGUGGCGAACGGGUGAAGUAACGCGUGAGUAACCUGCCCCUUGACUCUGGGAUAACAGACGGAAAACGUCCGCUAAUACCGGAUACUCAGACCUUCAGGCAUCUGGUGGUUUGGAAAAGCUCCGGCGGUCAAGGAUCGGACUCGCGUCCUAUCAGCUUGUUGGUGGGGUAAUGGUCCCCACCAAGGCGACGACGGGUAAGCCGGCCUAGAGAGGGCGACCGGCCACAUUGGGACUGAGAUACGGCCCAAACUCCUACGGGAGGCAGCAGUGGGAAUAUUGCACAAUGGGCGCAAGCCUGAUGCAGCAACGCCGCGUGCGGGAAGAACGGCCUUCGGGUUGUAAACCGCUUUUCAGCAGGGACGAAGUGAAAAAUGACGGUACCUGCAGAAGAAGCACCGGCUAACUACGUGCCAGCAGCCGCGGUGAUAC